RNAcentral lists this unclassified non-coding RNA (2032 nucleotides) under Daphnia magna. RNAcentral's name for it is "uncharacterized LOC116918377, transcript variant X3". Lineage: Eukaryota; Metazoa; Arthropoda; Branchiopoda; Diplostraca; Daphniidae. The record is from RNAcentral.
AAAUAUCAACCCCGAGUCCAUUCCCCGAGUGUUAGUCUUUUUUGUUUACUCCCGACCCCGAGUUCAUUCCCCGAAUUUUAGUCUUUUUUUUUGUUUACUCCCGACCCCCGAGUCCAUUCCCCGAGUUUUAGUCUUAUUUGUUUACCCCGACCCCCGAGUCCAUUCCCCGAGUUUUAGUCUUUUUUUGUUUACCCCGUUCCCCGUUUGAGGGCACUAAAACUCGGGGAAAAUGACGACCCCCGAGUCCAUUCCCCGAGUUUUAGUUCCCCGACCCCCGACCCCCGAACCCCGAGUUUUAGUGGUGCCCUGUAUUUUGAAAUUUGUGUUGUCCUGAUAAAGCUAACUCUUGUUUGUUUAGUUGGCCUAAGUAUUCCAUCAGUGAAUUGUGUUCUUCACAGGACUCGAGAACUUCAAAAGUUCAAUAUACUAUAAGAUCGGCCAAAGUCAUUACAUUCUCAGAGGACAAGGAUGUAGUAUUAUCCACAAAAAAUGCUAUGCUGAAGAAAACCAGGCCUGCAAUCUCUGCUCAUUAGCCAGUAAUAGCAAAAAGGUCUUAUCCAAAUACUACUAAUAGUCAACGGGGCUCAAAAAAAAGUACAACCUCACUAAAAUUUUCAGCUGAUGGUUCUACAAUGGGUAACUCCAAUUGCAUAAGAAAGUAACAAUCUUUUACAAGUGUGACACACAAAUUUUUUAUAGCUAGAAAAAGAAUGCAAAUUCUAGAUGAAGACUUAGAAGCCUUAACCUAAAUGAAGAAGAAUACUUUAAUUCGUUUUUGGAUGACGAAGAUAUUAUUCCUGGAACUCCUCAGCAAUCAUCAAAACGCAAACGACCAUAUGAUUGUGACAGCGCUCGUGACAAGGCUCGGACUCAAAAUAACGACUUAGCUAAGGACAAGGAAAGUACGUCAGAUUCAACACCAACUGGCAACAAUAAAAAAAGGUCGUGGAGUAAGAAUCACGAAUCUCAGAGGCAGUAUUCAGUAGAGACAAACAUUUUUGAAAACCCUCCUUCUUCUUUGGUGCAAAAGCGAUACACACAGUCGAGAUCAGUUAUAUCGGGAUAAGAAACGGAGUUCAGUCAUACUGAUUGGAAAGAGCAAGAUCCUACCCCUGAAAGUUCUUGGGCAAGCAAGGAAGAACUGAAAAAUUAAGUGAAAUUACUUAACGAGCAGAUACAGAGUUCUGUAAUUGAUCGGGAAAACGAGCGACAGCGCUACAUACAACAACUUGCCGAGAAGGAUGCGCUGAUUUUUCAGUUGCAAGAAGAAAUUCAAUCACUCAAUGAAACAAAUCCGCAAUGCUUGGCAAAAAGUCUUCAGGAAGGGUUGACGAUUCUUCAAGCAAUUUUAGAAAACUUAUCUUUACCAAGUACUCCGCAGCAGGCAUUUCGUCAUUGUCGUUCAACCGACAGAAGAGUAAUUGAAAUGAGUCAUCUAGUAAAGCUACAUACGGAUUAUAACACCAUGAUUAAUGCCAAUGCGCUAGCAACCGCUAUUACAUAUGGAAAGGUUGGAUAAAAAAAAAAGGAAAUGAGUAAAAUUAUUAAUGUGAUAAUGGAGGACUUUUGGGAUAUAAUAUUUAUGUCAAGCCACAGUUUAACUGGAAAAAAGGCACCCACUGAUAAAAGUAGCAAUCCUCCCAAGCCUGCAUUUCCAAAAGAAGAUGUUGAAGCCAUAACAAAAUUUACGGCCGAUUACUGGGAAACCCGACACAAGAUGGUGAUCGAUCCGUCAUUGGUGUCCCCAUGCUUAACUGCAAAACUUUUAAGUAAGCACACGGCUAAAAAGUCAAGAGAGAAGAUGUUGGCAGAGGAGGAAGUUGCAGAUUCAGAGUAAAUGAAUAAACAGUGCGUUUCUAGUCCAAUAUUUAUGCACUUAUAUGAUGACAUUUACAAUGUCCCUGUACGUAAUAUUUUUAGCAUUCACGUUCGUUUUUACAGUUUUUUCUAUUGUAUUUUAUAUAGUGUCACGUAUUUGAAAUUUCCGAAACACAAAGAAAUCUAUACCAAAUACAAAGAAUGUUCCAGUUUA